UGGCGACCGGCGCACGGGUGAGUAACACGUAUCCAACCUGCCGAUAACUCGGGGAUAGCCUUUCGAAAGAAAGAUUAAUAUCCGAUAGCAUAUCAAGAUCGCAUGAUUUUGAUAUUAAAGAAUUUCGGUUAUCGAUGGGGAUGCGUUCCAUUAGUUAGUUGGCGGGGUAACGGCCCACCAAGACGACGAUGGAUAGGGGUUCUGAGAGGAAGGUCCCCCACAUUGGAACUGAGACACGGUCCAAACUCCUACGGAAGGCAGCAG
Molecule: ribosomal RNA, 264 nt
Filed under: uncultured bacterium
Lineage: Bacteria
Description: partial 16S ribosomal RNA
Rfam family: Bacterial small subunit ribosomal RNA
Source: RNAcentral